RNAcentral lists this ribosomal RNA (374 nucleotides) under uncultured organism. RNAcentral describes it as "partial 16S ribosomal RNA". It matches the Rfam family "Bacterial small subunit ribosomal RNA", at positions 527 to 896 of the family's 1533-position model. The record is from RNAcentral.
GUAGGUGGCAAGCGUUGUCCGGAAUUAUUGGGCGUAAAGCGCGCGCAGGUGGUUCUUUAAGUCUGAUGUGAAAGCCCCCGGGCUCAACCGGGGAGGGUCAUUGGAAACUGGGGAACUUGAGUGCAGGAGAGGAAAGUGGAAUUCCACGUGUAGCGGUGAAAUGCGUAGAUAUGUGGAGGAACACCAGUGGCGAAGGCGACUUUCUGGCCUGUAACUGACACUGAGGCGCGAAAGCGUGGGGAGCAAACAGGAUUAGAUACCCUGGUAGUCCACGCCGUAAACGAUGAGUGCUAAGUGUUGGGGGGGUUUCCGCCCCUCAGUGCUGCAGCUAACGCAUUAAGCACUCCGCCUGGGGAGUACGGUCGCAAAGACUG